RNAcentral lists this ribosomal RNA (457 nucleotides) under uncultured bacterium. RNAcentral's name for it is "partial 16S ribosomal RNA". It matches the Rfam family "Bacterial small subunit ribosomal RNA", at positions 338 to 795 of the family's 1533-position model. The record is from RNAcentral.
CCUACGGGGGGCAGCAGUGGGGAAUAUUGCACAAUGGGGGAAACCCUGAUGCAGCGACGCCGCGUGAGUGAAGAAGUAUUUCGGUAUGUAAAGCUCUAUCAGCAGGGAAGAAAUAGCGACCUUUGGGUCGCCAGACGGUACCUGAUUAAGAAGCCCCGGCUAACUACGUGCCAGCAGCCGCGGUAAUACGGAGGAUGAGAGCGUUAUCCGGAUUUAUGGGGUUUAAAGGGUGCGCAGGCGGAAGGUCAAGUCAGCGGUAAAAUUGAGAGGCUCAACCUAUUCGAGCCGUUGAAACUGGUUUUCGUGAGUGAGUGAGAAGUAUGCGGAAUGCGUGGUGUAGCGGUGAAAUGCGUAGAUAUCACGCAGAACUCCGAUUGCGAAGGCAGCAUACCGGCGCUCAACUGACGCUCAUGCACGAAAGUGUGGGUAUCGAACAGGAUUAGAUACCCGGGUAGUC